AGCGAACGCUGGCGGCAGGCUUAACACAUGCCAGUCGAGCGGGCACUUCGGUGUCAGCGGCAGACGGGUGAGUAACACGUGGGAACGUACCCUUCGGUUCGGAAUAACGCUGGGAAACUAGCGCUAAUACCGGAUACGCCCUUUUGGGGAAAGGUUUACUGCCGAAGGAUCGGCCCGCGUCUGAUUAGCUAGUUGGUGGGGUAAUGGCCUACCAAGGCGACGAUCAGUAGCUGGUCUGAGAGGAUGAUCAGCCACACUGGGACUGAGACACGGCCCAGACUCCUACGGGAGGCAGCAGUAGGGAAUAUUGGACAAUGGGCGCAAGCCUGAUCCAGCCAUGCCGCGUGAGUGAUGAAGGCCUUAGGGUUGUAAAGCUCUUUUGUCCGGGACGAUAAUGACGGUACCGGAAGAAUAAGCCCCGGCUAACUUCGUG
This 433-nucleotide ribosomal RNA is filed under the name uncultured bacterium. RNAcentral describes it as "partial 16S ribosomal RNA". It matches the Rfam family "Bacterial small subunit ribosomal RNA", at positions 29 to 507 of the family's 1533-position model. The record is from RNAcentral.